RNAcentral lists this small nuclear RNA (329 nucleotides) under Castor canadensis (American beaver). Its description in RNAcentral is "7SK RNA (ENSCCNG00000028145.1)". It matches the Rfam family "7SK RNA". Rfam says of the family: 7SK was discovered as an abundant small nuclear RNA in the mid-70s but a possible function has only recently been suggested. Two independent studies have found that 7SK RNA binds the CDK9/cyclin T complex (known as elongation factor P-TEFb). Lineage: Eukaryota; Metazoa; Chordata; Mammalia; Rodentia; Castoridae. The record is from Rfam by way of RNAcentral.
GGCUGUGAGGGCAAUCUGGCUGGACAUCUGUCCCCCAUUGAUCACCAGGGUUGACAUGGCUGAUCUGGCUGGCUGGGAGGGUGUUCCCUUCCUCUCUCACCACUCCAUGUGUAUCUCUCUGGAAGCCUGAAGCUAUGCGCUCAGUGGAAGAGGGCCACCAUCCCUGAUAGAGGAGUGCUGGUCUUUGGUCAAGGGUAUACCAGUAGCUGCACUCCCCUGGUAGAAUCUCCAAACAUGAUCUCAUUCCACAGAAUUGACCCUCUAUAUACUAGAAGAUAAGACCUUUGUUGAACUCCACUCCACCACUAGCUGAAGGUUUGCCAGUGUUG